GCGGGGACAGCGCUUGGUGGCCCUGCCCGACAAGCCGCCACCUCCCCCCGAGCCCCUUGGCUCCAGCCCCCGGGACCAGAGCGGGAUGAGGGGGUGCUGCUGCUGCUGCUGCUGCUGCUGCUGCUCUCCGAAGGGUUAAAAGCCUUCGAGCCCCAUGCGCAGGAGGCGUCUGGGCAGUGUGGGGAGAAAUGCAGAAAAACUGCAGGCCACUGAUUGCGGGUGUAGUUCUCUUGGAUGACUCCUUGUGGGAAGAAAUAUCUGGGAAGCCACGGUUUCAAUACAGUGGCGAAGACUAUGGAAGUCAUUGCAAUCAAUUGGCAGAGAGAUGGCAAAACUGCAGCUUUGCCUGGAGAAGAGGGAUUUCCACAAGUUCUUUUCCCUUCUGGACUGGUGUUGACCGAUUUCUUCCACGUAUUGGAGUAGCUGUUUUCCAGUUCUAGUGAGUGACUCUGGUUUCUGGAGAAAGUAAGCCACCAGCAGAUCACCAGAACAGCAGAGAAAUUCAUAGUUGUCUGAGUCACACUGGCUGUAGCAGAUUUGCUGUUUCUUCAGUCCCAGUUUCUUUUGUGGAUUGAAACAUCAGAAAAAGAGGUAGGCAGAGUGAAAAUGGAUGUCAACCUGACUGCUUACCACAAACUUUCUCCUGCUUUUCAUACCAGAUCCAGCCCUUUCUGUAUGUCCAGAAGGCAUAUUGAGGCACUACAGGCAUUUAGCUGGGGAAAUCUUGAGUUGCUGGCUAACCAUUUUGGACACCCUUAGUCACUGAAGAAAUGCAGGUGCCAUGAAGGGAUGAUGAAGCCCACCCAAGAAUCCAAAAGUGUGUCAAACAGUUAAUACUGAGUCUUGCAUGAUAACCUACAAUUAGCAUGCAAUGCCCAAGGCACUUGCACACUGACAACAUGGUUUAAUCCAGUAAUAAAGUAGGCUAAAAUGAUUAUCAUAGUAGCUAAUAGUAUUUUUGACAUAAGUGAAACUGUAGAAAAGAGGCUGCACAAAUAUAUUGAUUUCAGCAGUGCCUCUCUGACAAGUCUGUAUAGAUUUUGUUAUUUAUGGUUCAUUUUUUCCAAAAAGAACCAAGGCCUGCAAAUGUAGAAAUCCCUGGUUGUAUGAAAUGGCUGUGCAUGAGAAUGAGGGAUUUGCAUGUUCAACUGCCCAUAUUUGUAUCCUCCUAUCCAGUUUGCAUAUGCAAAGGCAAAGGUUGUUAUAUUUAUCAGUGCAUAAAUAAAAGGAGGAGAGAUAAAUGACCUGGUUUGCAGAGGUGCUGAGCACAUGCACUUUCCAUUUAUUUCAACUGGAGUGUGAAAAACAGGCCCUAAGUGACUGGCUCAAGCUCACACAAUGCAUGAUUGUCAGUGCCAGGAAGAAAACCCAGAAAUCCUUCCAGUCUAAUCCUCCAGUUUAAAUCCUCCCCAGUCUAAACUCUAGACACAGUCUCUCCAAGAAAUAAAAAAAAAAAUGGAAAAAAAAAUCCAUGCAAUAGCCUGAUCACACUCUUAUUCCUACCUUAAUUUUCUAAGAGAAUAAAAAAAAAUGGGACGUGAAAAACUUCUGCAUAAUGUUUAAUGACUAGCAAAUAAUGCCAAGUAGGGCAACUAAAUAUGUGUGAAGCAUUGCUCACGCACCCAUCAACUUGCAUGUGUGUCACAGAUGGUUUUAGUGAAGAGCCAAAAAGAGAAGGAGAGAAAGGAAAAGGAAAGCAAGUCCAGAUAAAGAGUAGCUAGAAAGAGAGACAAAGACAUUUUCUGCUGUUAAAAAAAAAAAAAAAUCCCUUAAAAAUGCUACAAAAACUAAUGAUAAAAAAAAACAUAGAACCAUUCCAUCUCCUUGAUAACGUGUAGGCU
This is a long non-coding RNA of Manacus vitellinus (golden-collared manakin), 1841 nucleotides long. RefSeq lists it as uncharacterized. NCBI's taxonomy places the organism in Eukaryota, Metazoa, Chordata, Aves, Passeriformes, Pipridae. The transcript has 6 exons. The record is from RefSeq and is a predicted model, not a curated record.